This is a non-coding RNA of Alexandromys fortis (reed vole), 491 nucleotides long. NCBI's taxonomy places the organism in Eukaryota, Metazoa, Chordata, Mammalia, Rodentia, Cricetidae. The record is from the annotation of a RefSeq genome assembly.
GGGCCAUGGAGAGUAAACUGGGAACUGUGCUGGGGAUUCUGUGGGUGCAGAUUUGCUGGGUGCGAGGAGUUGAUGUGGAGCACAGUCCUUCAGACCUGAGUCUCCACGAGGGAACCAGUUCUGCCCUGAGAUGCAAUUUUUCUACCACCAUCGUGAGUGUGCAGUGGUUCCGACAGAAUCCCAGGGGCAGCCUGAUCAGACUGUUUUACCUGACUCCUGGAACAAAGGAGAAUGGAAGGCUAACAUCAACAUUCAACUCCAUGGAGCGCUACAGCACCCUGCAUAUAGAGGAUGCCCAGCUGGAGGACUCAGGCACCUACCUCUGUGCAGUGGAGGCACAGUGCUUUCUACAAGUCUUCAGCCUGGUCCCAAACUGCAGCUGGGUGUGCAGCUGCAGCCCUGACAUGGGGAGACUCAACAGGAGGCUUUUCACAGCGGUGGCUUUAUCAGAUCCUCACCAAUUACGAAGAAAUUGUGAGGAAACAAAAUGA